Molecule: ribosomal RNA, 476 nt
Filed under: uncultured Gemmata sp.
Lineage: Bacteria; Pseudomonadati; Planctomycetota; Planctomycetia; Gemmatales; Gemmataceae
Description: bacterial SSU rRNA
Rfam family: Bacterial small subunit ribosomal RNA
Source: RNAcentral
AGAGUUUGAUCAUGGCUCAGAACGAACGUUGGCGGCGUGGAUUAGGCAUGCAAGUCGAACGAAGACAGCUUGGUAGCAAUAUUGAGCUGGACUGAGUGGCGAAAGGGGCAGUAAUGCGUGGGCAACCUACCUCCGGGAUGGGCAUAGCCGGCCUAACGGCCGGGUAAUUCCCAGCGAUUUGGCGAGGCGGCAUCGUUUUGCCAAGAAAUGGAUUCCGCCUGGAGAGGGGCUCACGUCGUAUUAGCUAGUUGGCGGGGUAACGGCCCACCAAGGCGAAGAUGCGUAGCGGGUGUGAGAGCACGACCCGCGCCACUGGCACUGAGACACUGGCCAGACACCUACGGGUGGCUGCAGUCGAGGAUCUUUGGCAAUGGGCGCAAGCCUGACCAAGCGACGCCGCGUGUGCGAUGAAGGCCUUCGGGUUGUAAAGCACUGUCGAGGGGGAUAAAACCGCAAGGUGAUAGAUUCCUGAGAAG